GAUGAACGCUGGCGGCGUGCCUAAUACAUGCAAGUCGAGCGAACGGACGAGAAGCUUGCUUCUCUGAUGUUAGCGGCGGACGGGUGAGUAACACGUGGAUAACCUACCUAUAAGACUGGGAUAACUUCGGGAAACCGGAGCUAAUACCGGAUGAUAUUUUGAACCGCAUGGUUCAAAAGUGAAAGACGGUCUUGCUGUCACUUAUAGAUGGACCCGCGCUGCAUUAGCUAGUUGGUAAGGUAACGGCUUACCAAGGCAACGAUGCAUAGCCGACCUGAGAGGGUGAUCGGCCACACUGGAACUGAGACACGGUCCAGACUCCUACGGGAGGCAGCAGUAGGGAAUCUUCCGCAGUGGGCGAAAGCCUGACGGAGCAACGCCGCGUGAGUGAUGAAGGUCUUCGGAUCGUAAAACUCUGUUAUUAGGGAAGAACAUAUGUGUAAGUAACUGUGCACAUCUUGACGGUACCUAAUCAGAAAGCCACGGCUAACUACGU
Molecule: ribosomal RNA, 496 nt
Filed under: uncultured bacterium
Lineage: Bacteria
Description: partial 16S ribosomal RNA
Rfam family: Bacterial small subunit ribosomal RNA
Source: RNAcentral